RNAcentral lists this ribosomal RNA (928 nucleotides) under Vibrio parahaemolyticus. Its description in RNAcentral is "bacterial SSU rRNA". It matches the Rfam family "Bacterial small subunit ribosomal RNA", at positions 306 to 1226 of the family's 1533-position model. The record is from RNAcentral. Lineage: Bacteria; Pseudomonadati; Pseudomonadota; Gammaproteobacteria; Vibrionales; Vibrionaceae.
AGCCACACUGGAACUGAGACACGGUCCAGACUCCUACGGGAGGCAGCAGUGGGGAAUAUUGCACAAUGGGCGCAAGCCUGAUGCAGCCAUGCCGCGUGUAUGAAGAAGGCCUUCGGGUUGUAAAGUACUUUCAGUCGUGAGGAAGGUAGUGUAGUUAAUAGCUGCAUUAUUUGACGUUAGCGACAGAAGAAGCACCGGCUAACUCCGUGCCAGCAGCCGCGGUAAUACGGAGGGUGCGAGCGUUAAUCGGAAUUACUGGGCGUAAAGCGCAUGCAGGUGGUUUGUUAAGUCAGAUGUGAAAGCCCGGGGCUCAACCUCGGAAUUGCAUUUGAAACUGGCAGACUAGAGUACUGUAGAGGGGGGUAGAAUUUCAGGUGUAGCGGUGAAAUGCGUAGAGAUCUGAAGGAAUACCGGUGGCGAAGGCGGCCCCCUGGACAGAUACUGACACUCAGAUGCGAAAGCGUGGGGAGCAAACAGGAUUAGAUACCCUGGUAGUCCACGCCGUAAACGAUGUCUACUUGGAGGUUGUGGCCUUGAGCCGUGGCUUUCGGAGCUAACGCGUUAAGUAGACCGCCUGGGGAGUACGGUCGCAAGAUUAAAACUCAAAUGAAUUGACGGGGGCCCGCACAAGCGGUGGAGCAUGUGGUUUAAUUCGAUGCAACGCGAAGAACCUUACCUACUCUUGACAUCCAGAGAACUUUCCAGAGAUGGAUUGGUGCCUUCGGGAACUCUGAGACAGGUGCUGCAUGGCUGUCGUCAGCUCGUGUUGUGAAAUGUUGGGUUAAGUCCCGCAACGAGCGCAACCCUUAUCCUUGUUUGCCAGCGAGUAAUGUCGGGAACUCCAGGGAGACUGCCGGUGAUAAACCGGAGGAAGGUGGGGACGACGUCAAGUCAUCAUGGCCCUUACGAGUAGGGCUACACACGUGCU